UAUUUGUCAUGUUUUUACCAAAGUGUGUGAUACUAUCAAUUCGAACUUGUAUAAAUAUGCCUUGAAAUAACGAUAUAGUCAUCUUCGCGACUUGACAUUGUGUGAGACAAGCUAAGUAGCUGCACGUCAACGGUUUCUCAGCAAAUAAACCUUCACUUAACAAAAUGAAAGUUGCAAUGAUCGCUCUCCUCUUGGUUGGACUGAUGAUGGUGGCGCUGCCACAGGAAGCAGAUGCAUGCACUGCAAGUCAAUGUGCGACAUGUGCCAACUUUAUCUCUGGUUUUGACGAAUCUGACUGUGGUAGAGGUGGUGCAGCCUGUGCGACCUGCGCAGAAAACAUGGCGAACUUCUUUUAGUGUUGACCAGAAAGAUGAAAUGAGAGUGUAUGACCUGAGAUUACCCAGUUUUAGAGUUGUAAACAACAACGGUGUCAUGGCCAUGAGAUAAUACAGCACACUAUCUAUACGUAGAGACAUUUAUUAUAGUAAUCUACAUAUCCAUAUUACAUAAAUAUAUAUUCAUUAGAUGUCAAUAAACAUUGAAGCAUCAAAUAC
Molecule: long non-coding RNA, 554 nt
Organism: Saccoglossus kowalevskii
Lineage: Eukaryota; Metazoa; Hemichordata; Enteropneusta; Harrimaniidae
Source: RefSeq, a predicted model, not a curated record